AUGCAAAGAACUGCCUUUUUAUUUCAUGUCACUUCCUGUGAGAGGGACUUUUGCGGCUUUUUGAGGUGGUUCUUGAUUUAUAGGGCUGCAGUGUGGAGACCUGAGACUGCUUCCCUUAGGAGACCACAUGAAGGGACCAAGGACCUUUCAGUACUGCUCAUGCUCAAGCCCCAGCUGAUCCAUCCUCAGCCUCAGUUCCCAAGCUGCUCUUGCCUGCAUCAGUGUAAGGUAGAUUCUUCAAUCAACUGAUGGAAUUGUAGGGUACGUGGAUGUUGGCUGGCUAAAGAGUCAGCAGCUUUUCUUCCUGUUCUUAAAAGCCAAGGUAAACUCUAAGGAGAGAAUCUUCAUUUCCAAUGAAAAAGAAAAUGGAGAAAAGAGGAAAUUGCUUUUUUCCUUUUUCCCUCGAGUCUCUUUCAGAGUUCAGUUGCUUUCUCCCUCCUCUCUCUCCUUACCAAGAGCAGUGUCCUACACUGGAGCAAUUCACCCAAUAGAAGAGUCCACAGCCAGCAGAAAGUGGACCUUGAGAGUACAGCUACUAUAAAAUCUAGCUAUGGAAAAGAACAGGCUCAGGAAGCCCAGCAGUUGACCUGUCCAGGAGAGUGGCCAAACUCAGGAGGAGCAGUAUGAAAACAUCAUUAUGCAUCAGUAUCAAAAAGCAUCAGUACCCUAUUGGAGAAGGAGCAACAUUUGCUACUAAUAUGGUCAGGCACACAGUGGACCUUGUUGCAUAGCUAGAAAAUCACCCAGCAUGCUCUGAGCUUCACAAAAUUUAGAAUUCAAGAGUAGGAAUAUUCUGGGAGCUAUCAGGCCACAACGCCUUGACAGAGUCAUGCAUGGUAGUUAAGGAGGCCACAGAGUGGCCCUUGGAAAGAUGUGAUUGCUCACUCAGUCCCCCUUGCAUGACCUCUCUCAUUAAUAUCUCUUACCUAUGAAGUUGACAUGAUUACUAUUCCCCCUAGUCUCAAAAGGAAUAAUGCAAAAGCAAAAAAAACCUGUACCCUAAUUCUCCAAAACAUCACCAAAAUAUCAGACCCUCAAGCCCAAUCCCAAAAGACUACCAUGGGUUAACUUUUACUUAGACAAAUAAUUCCCAGUAAAACCACAGCUACUGGGCAAGCCCAAAGCAUUCCCACUCACAGAAACUUAUUCUCAUGAAGCCAAUACACAAAUCAAUCAUAAAGGCCCAUACAAAAUGUACAGGUACACUAAGCUUCAAUAUACCUCAGUUACUCGACUUUACAAACCAGUAAUUUGCCAGUGGGAAACUCCCUAGUAAACCCUGAGAAAUGAUUGGUCUAAUAUUAAAUUUUGUUCCCAGUACCUCUCAACCUCAAUGAUACAACUGCUGAAUUGUCUUUUAAGAACUUCUGAUUAAUUAUUCCAUUUUAUUAAAAGUAAUAAGUAAAUUUCCUUGAUUAUUUGUAAACUCAAAACUUCUCACAGGGUAAUGAGAAAAUUGAGCCACGUGUGACAAAAUCAUUUAUCUUGUAUGCUGUCUGUAAUCACAAUAUAAGAAUAUAGAAUGUUAAUCAAGUGAUUUCUUAAGAGUUAAUGUAUCACUUUUCCAAUUAUCUCCAUUUAGACAUGUGUGUUAGAUAAUGUAUCUGUGUGCCAAGAAAAUGGGUAUAAAAAUAAACACCAGGCCUGGGAAUGGAAGAACA
Molecule: long non-coding RNA, 1661 nt
Filed under: Monodelphis domestica (gray short-tailed opossum)
Lineage: Eukaryota; Metazoa; Chordata; Mammalia; Didelphimorphia; Didelphidae
Description: lncRNA (ENSMODG00000030499.2)
Source: RNAcentral